Molecule: non-coding RNA, 635 nt
Organism: Siniperca chuatsi (mandarin fish)
Lineage: Eukaryota; Metazoa; Chordata; Actinopteri; Centrarchiformes; Sinipercidae
Source: the annotation of a RefSeq genome assembly
UGAGUUUGUUUGUGUCAAAGUCAGAGAGCCGUGUCUCUCUACAGUGAGAGGUUUUUGUACGGCGGCUCAAUGACUUUGUAUCACUGUGGUACACAUUCGGUGGAGGAACCAGACUGGAAGUUAACUUGGGUCGAGUCGUCCCCACCCUGACGGUGCUGCCCCCCUCCAGCGAGGAGCUGCAGCAGGGGAAGGCCACGCUCAUGUGCCUGGCCAACAAGGGCUUCCCCUCAGACUGGAGUCUGGCCUGGAAGGUGGACGGCAGCAGCAGCAGCAGCAGCAGCUGGGAGGAGAGCAGGAGUCUCGGGGUGCUGGAGAAGGACGGCCGCUACAGCUGGAGCAGCACCCUGAGGCUCCCUGCAGACCAGUGGAGGAAGGUGGGCUCUGUGACCUGUGAGGCCACCCAGGGCUCUCAGACUCCGCUCUCAGAGACACUGAGGAGAGACCAGUGUUCCCAGUCCUGACCUGACUCACUGGGACUCUGCUACUGGUUUUACUCUGCUACUGCUCUCAGUCUGCACUCCCUCUCUCUGGUUGUCUCUUUCUCUCAUUACACGUUUCAAAAUUAAUGUUUUCUUGCUUGUUGUAGUGUUGAUGGUUUAAAUAGUUCAAAUCAAUAAAAGUGGCAUCAAAUAGUG